Molecule: small RNA, 207 nt
Filed under: Arabidopsis thaliana (thale cress)
Lineage: Eukaryota; Viridiplantae; Streptophyta; Magnoliopsida; Brassicales; Brassicaceae
Description: ATSL039370
Source: RNAcentral
AUAAACAAAACAUCAAGUCAAUUUGGACUACAAAAACACAAACCAAGCUUCUUCAUGAUUCUCAAAGCUUUGAUGGUGAACCCGAAGUUCUUAACAGUUUUUGGUUUUGAAUCGUAUAACAAGGAAGCACUACUUUACUCUUCGGGAUCUCGUUGAGGUUCUAGUUUUAUAUUCAAUCAUACACAUGACAUCUACUCAUAUUUAACU